RNAcentral lists this ribosomal RNA (488 nucleotides) under uncultured Verrucomicrobiota bacterium. RNAcentral describes it as "bacterial SSU rRNA". It matches the Rfam family "Bacterial small subunit ribosomal RNA", at positions 224 to 704 of the family's 1533-position model. Lineage: Bacteria; Pseudomonadati; Verrucomicrobiota. The record is from RNAcentral.
GAGGAGCCUGCGGCAGAUUAGCUAGUUGGUGAGGUAACGGCUCACCAAGGCAUUGACGGGUAGCUGGUCUGAGAGGACGACCAGUCACACUGGGACUGAGACACGGCCCAGACACCUACGGGUGGCAGCAGUCGAGAAUUUUUCUCAAUGGGGGAAACCCUGAAGGAGCGACGCCGCGUGGAGGAUGAAGGUCUUCGGGUUGUAAACUCCUGUCAUUUGGGAACAAGGCUCCGAGGAGUAACUGCUUCGGAGUUGAUAGUACCAGAAGAGGAAGAGACGGCUAACUCUGUGCCAGCAGCCGCGGUAAUACAGAGGUCUCAAGCGUUGUUCGGAUUCAUUGGGCGUAAAGGGUGCGUAGGCGGCGCGGUAAGUCGGGUGUGAAAUUUCGAGGCUUAACUUCGAAACUGCAUUCGAUACUGCCGUGCUCGAGGACUGGAGAGGAGACUGGAAUUUACGGUGUAGCGGUGAAAUGCGUAGAUAUCGUAAGG